GUACGCAUACAGAUGUAUAUAACUGCAUGAAGAAAGGGCCGGCAGGUCGCCUGGUGGUUAGAGUGUAGAGGUGGCAGGUAGUCUAGUGGUUAGAGUGUAGAGGUGGCAGGUAGCCUAGUGGUUAGAGUGUAGAGGUGGCAGGUAGUCUAGUGGUUAGAGUGUAGAGGUGGCAGGUAGCCGAGUGGAUAGAGUGUAGAGGUGGCAGGUAGCCUAGUGGUUAGAGUGUAGAGGAGGCAGGUAGCCUAGUGGUUAGAGUGUAGAGGUGGCAGGGUAGCCUAGUGGUUAGAGUAUAGAGGUGGCAGGUAGCCUAGUGGUUAGAGUGUAGAGGUGGCAGGGUAGCCUAGUGGUUAGAGUGUAGAGGUGGCAGGUAGCCUAGUGGUUAGAGUGUAGAGGUGGCAGGGUAGCCUAGUGGUUAGAGUGUAGAGGCGGCAGGUAGCCUAGUGGUUAGAGUGUAGAGGCGGCAGGUAGCCUAGUGGUUAGAGUGUAGAGGUGGCAGGUAGCCUAGUGGUUAGAGUGUAGAGGUGGCAGGUAGCCUAGUGGUUAGAGUGUAGAGGUGGCAGGUAGCCUAGUGGUUAGAGUGUAGAGGUGG
Long non-coding RNA from Oncorhynchus tshawytscha (Chinook salmon), 589 nucleotides. The record is from Ensembl. NCBI's taxonomy places the organism in Eukaryota, Metazoa, Chordata, Actinopteri, Salmoniformes, Salmonidae.